Anastrepha ludens (Mexican fruit fly) is the source of this 1111-nucleotide long non-coding RNA. RefSeq lists it as uncharacterized. Lineage: Eukaryota; Metazoa; Arthropoda; Insecta; Diptera; Tephritidae. The transcript is spliced from 3 exons. The record is from RefSeq and is a predicted model, not a curated record.
CGUUCGCAAUACUUUAAGUAGUCUCCAAUGUCAUUAAUAAGAAGAAAAACUGAAGCGCACCAAAGUGAUCUCAAAGGAUAAAUAUUUUUGAAACUUUUAUUUCGUAUAAAAUAUUCACUCAGCUAAUGUUAAACGUAUAAUAUUUCCCAAAGUUCUUUGGCGCAUGUGUAAGUUACUCAUAUUUUUUUGCUUGUCGCUCACGUCUGUUCCUUGUCGUCGGUCGCAUUAGCUAAGCUUUUUGCUGCUAGGCAGCCUUUACUCCACCAUUGCAUUUUGUGUUUCUUCGCCCUCUCUGUUGUCAACUGACACAUAACACACAAACUUCAAUUACAACUGAUUCUGAUACCAAAAAAAUCAGAACGAAUUGCCAAACAAUCAGUAAACGCCAUCCACCAGCUGAACAACCGUCAUCGCCUUGUUGAGUAUUUCUGAAAUCGACACCCGACGCAUAGCAUUCCGCAAAUAGCCAAUCAUCAUGUGUGUGAAGGUGUUGUUGUAUGAACUUCAAAUUACACGCAUACACACGCAUCUACCUUUUACCAGCAGUGAAAUCUGGUAUGCACUUGAAAUCGCAUACACAGCCGUCAACAACAACCGUAGCAGUAAAAACACAUAACGCCUUCCCUUUCAACCUUCUUUCAUUGAGCACAUUCGCAGCGACAAUCAAACCAGACGCACAUCCUUAACAAGCGCACCACUACAAGUGCAUACAUGCGAAUAUAUUGCUAAUGUAUUGUGUACAUCGUUCAUCGUAUUGUCGGGCCGUCACUUUCAAGCAGACGCCUUUUAUUGCCAGAAGUGGCCAGCUGCCAACUGUCAGCACUUCAGUAGCCUUUUCUAUGUUCGAUCGUGUUGCGCACAACUCAAUUAUCGCUGCUGCCAUUUUGCUGCUUCAAACGACUUUCACUUUCCACUGCAGUUUGGUUAUAUUAAUUGAAAUUGUUUAGCACGGCAGUAGCUUGAAAGCCAAGAGUCGAUAAGAUAAAAUAAAGAAAGAAAUAAAUAUCAUAUGAGAAUUUAAAUAAGAUUUAAAAUUUAUUAGGCAUUAGAAAUGGCUUUUAAAGUCUAUCAGUCAAGUCUAUGAACUGUGGGUGUAAUUAGCAAAUAUACA